Molecule: ribosomal RNA, 402 nt
Filed under: bacterium
Lineage: Bacteria
Description: partial 16S ribosomal RNA
Rfam family: Bacterial small subunit ribosomal RNA
Source: RNAcentral
UGGGGAAUUUUGCUCAAUGGGGGAAACCCUGAUGCAGCGACGCCGCGUGAUUUAGAAGGCCUUCGGGUUGUAAAAAUCUUUUUUACGGGAUGAAAAUGACAGUACCGUAAGAAUAAGGUCCGGCUAAAUACGUGCCAGCAGCCGCGGUAAUACGUAUGGACCGAGCGUUGUCCGGAAUCAUUGGGCGUAAAGGGUACGUAGGCGGCCUAGUAAGUUAGAAGUGAAAUAAUAUAGCUCAACUAUAUAAAGCUUUUAAAACUGCUAGGCUUGAGAGAUGGAAGGGAAAGUGGAAUUCCUAGUGUAGCGGUGAAAUGCGCAGAUAUUAGGAAGGAUACCGGUGGCGAAGGCGACUUUCUGGUCAUCAUCUGACGCUGAGGUACGAAAGCGUGGGUAGCAAGCAGG